GACGAACCGUGCAAACGUUAUUCGGAAUCACUGGGCAUAAAGGGCGCGUAGGCGGCUUCAUAAGUCAGGGGUGAAAUCCGGCAGCUCAACUGUCGCAGUGCCUUUGAUACUGUGGAGCUCGAGGGAGGUAGGGGUCUGUGGAACUUCCGGUGGAGCGGUGAAAUGCGUUGAUAUCGGAAGGAACGCCGGUGGCGAAAGCGACGGACUGGAUCUCUUCUGACGCUGAGGCGCGAAAGCCAGGGGAGCAAACGGG
Molecule: ribosomal RNA, 253 nt
Filed under: uncultured bacterium
Lineage: Bacteria
Description: partial 16S ribosomal RNA
Rfam family: Bacterial small subunit ribosomal RNA
Source: RNAcentral